This 251-nucleotide ribosomal RNA is filed under the name uncultured prokaryote. RNAcentral's name for it is "partial 16S rRNA". It matches the Rfam family "Bacterial small subunit ribosomal RNA", at positions 525 to 775 of the family's 1533-position model. The record is from RNAcentral.
ACGUAGGGUCCAAGCGUUAAUCGGAAUUACUGGGCGUAAAGCGUGCGCAGGCGGCUGUGUAAGACAGAUGUGAAAUCCCCGGGCUUAACCCGGGAAUUGCAUUUGAGACUGUACGGCUUGAGUAUGGCAGAGGGGGGUAGAAUUCCACGUGUAGCAGUGAAAUGCGUAGAGAUGUGGAGGAAUACCGAUGGCGAAGGCAGCCCCCUGGGCUAACACUGACGCUCAUGCGCGAGAGCGUGGGGAGCAAACAG